MicroRNA precursor from Ciona intestinalis (vase tunicate), 70 nucleotides. The record is from Ensembl. NCBI's taxonomy places the organism in Eukaryota, Metazoa, Chordata, Ascidiacea, Phlebobranchia, Cionidae.
CAGGUAAAUCUUUCAGCUUGUCGCGCUGCGCCACCUGGCGGAAAUGCCAGAAGCUGUGGGCUUUGCCUAA